AGUGAACGCUGGCGGUAGGCCUAACACAUGCAAGUCGAACGGCAGCACAGGAGAGCUUGCUCUCUGGGUGGCGAGUGGCGGACGGGUGAGGAAUACAUCGGAAUCUACUUUUUCGUGGGGGAUAACGUAGGGAAACUUACGCUAAUACCGCAUACGACCUACGGGUGAAAGCAGGGGACCUUCGGGCCUUGCGCGAUUGAAUGAGCCGAUGUCGGAUUAGCUAGUUGGCGGGGUAAAGGCCCACCAAGGCGACGAUCCGUAGCUGGUCUGAGAGGGGGAUCGGCCACACUGGAACUGAGACACGGUCCAGACUCCUACGGGAGGCAGCAGUGGGGAAUAUUGGACAAUGGGCGCAAGCCUGAUCCAGCCAUGCCGCGUGGGUGAAGAAGGCCUUCGGGUUGUAAAGCCCUUUUGUUGGGAAAGAAAUCCAGCUGGCUAAUACCCGGUUGGGAUGACGGUACCCAAAGAAUAAGCACCGGCUAACUUCGUGCCAGCCGCCGCGGUAA
Molecule: ribosomal RNA, 506 nt
Filed under: uncultured bacterium
Lineage: Bacteria
Description: partial 16S ribosomal RNA
Rfam family: Bacterial small subunit ribosomal RNA
Source: RNAcentral